CGCAUCUGUGCAUGCAGCAUAUCAAUAAGCGGAGGAAAAGAAACUAACAAGGAUUCCCUCAGUAACGGCGAGUGAAGGCGGGAAGAGCUCAAAUUUGAAAUCUUGAAAGGUCACCUUUCACGAAUUGUAGUUUAUAGAAGUGUUUUCUGUUACGAUCGUAAUAUAAGUUCUUUGGAAUAGGACAUCACAGAGGGUGAGAAUCCCGUCUAUGAUUGCGAUUUGUAGCUUUGUGAUACACUUUCAAAGAGUCGGGUUGUUUGGGAAUGCAGCCCAAAACGGGAGGUAAAUUUCUUCUAAGGCUAAAUAUUGGCGAGAGACCGAUAGCGAACAAGUACCGUGAGGGAAAGAUGAAAAGAACUUUGAAAAGAGAGUUAAGUAGUACGUGAAAUUGUCAAAAGGGAAGCGUUUAACACCAGUGUUGUUUUCUGAAAAUCAACCUCUGUUAGCUUUAUGCAUGUUUGUUUAGACCUAAUCAGCUAUCUUGCAUGUUCUAUUGUUUGCAGUGGUGCACUUUUCAGUUUACAGGUCAACAUCAGUUUUUUUUACCGUAAAAAAGUUAAAGAAAGGUAGCUCAUGGCUCCGGUCGUGAGUGUUAUAGUCUUUUUCCUAUGCGGUAGGAGAGACUGAGGUCUGCAGUGUAGGCUAUUUGGCUAGAUACUCAGGUGCUAUGUGAUACCAUUUCAUAAACAACUUGUUGAUUAUGUUUUGUCUAUUGCAUACUCGCUUGUACUAUCAUACCUACGCUUAGGAUGUUGACGAUCAGCUGAGCGCG
Molecule: ribosomal RNA, 772 nt
Filed under: uncultured Neocallimastigales
Lineage: Eukaryota; Fungi; Neocallimastigomycota; Neocallimastigomycetes; Neocallimastigales
Description: partial large subunit ribosomal RNA
Rfam family: Eukaryotic large subunit ribosomal RNA
Source: RNAcentral